AUACGGAGGGUGCGAGCGUUGUUCGGAAUUAUUGGGCGUAAAGAGCAUGUAGGCGGUCUGUUAAGUCUGGUGUGAAAGCCCGGGGCUCAACCCCGGAAGUGCAUUGGAUACUGGCAGACUUGAGUAUGGGAGAGGAAAGCGGAAUUCCGAGUGUAGGAGUGAAAUCCGUAGAUAUUCGGAGGAACACCAGUGGCGAAGGCGGUUUUCUGGACCAAUACUGACGCUGAGAUGCGAAAGCGUGGGGAGCGAACAGGAUUAGAAACCCCGGUAGUCC
This 274-nucleotide ribosomal RNA is filed under the name uncultured bacterium. Its description in RNAcentral is "partial 16S ribosomal RNA". It matches the Rfam family "Bacterial small subunit ribosomal RNA", at positions 523 to 796 of the family's 1533-position model. The record is from RNAcentral.